UGCUAUCCAGACCCAAAUCUCUAACAAAUAUACAACAUAGUAGAAAACUGUUCAUUUAUACUUUGGCUUUAUACUCUACCUCACGUGUGACUUCCUUUUCCCUUUUUAUAUUUUAAUUUUUUUUUUCUUCUCUCUUUCACACCACCAAAACACACAGAGCUUCUCCCUCUCCGGCGAAAAUCUCACCGGUUCUCACCCUCUACAAAUCGUCUUCUCCAUCUCAGCUUGAAGCUUCUCCCUUUCUACAAAAUUUCUUCUCCCUCUCUGGACAAAACCCUAACACAAUCGUCCCCUCUCUUCGACGAAAUUAAAUCAGUCUACUACGUUGAACUCGUUCAUUCGAUUCAAGGGCUGUGAUGCUUCACUGCUCUUGGAGGAUCGAAACAGUUCGUAUGAGAAGCAGGCUAUUCCAAAUCAGACAUUGAAAGGUUUUGAUAAAAUUGACUUGAUUAAGGAGGAAGUAGAACAAGCAUGUCCUGGCAUUGUGUUUUAUGCUGACAUUAUUGCUCUUGCAUCAAGAGAUAUUGUUCUUUUGGAACCACAAAAGUGGGCAGUUAAGAAGGUGCCUAUAUUUGGCAUUUUAUAUUCAAAUAGAAGAUAAGCAGAAGCCAUGAAGUAACUUUUUUAUGUUCAUUGAUGUUUAAAGGACAAUGAACUAUGCAAACCUUCCUUUAUUUUCCUUUACAUGGAAUAUUAUCAAAGGCACUAAGGUGAAUAACCCGGCUAGGAAUUGGAUAAGCAGAGAGGGGUUUUACAGGAAAUAAAGGUAUCUGCACAGUCAGACCUGCGGCACCAGGUUUCCCUUGUUGUCCAUCCAAUCAGGAACCUUAAAUGUUUAUUUUGUUUCAUGUGAUAAAUAUUGGGAUAUGGAGAGAGAGUUACAGAGCCAAAGGUAAUUUCAUAGGGUGCCAUUAGUGCUCCUAUGUACUCGAUGAAAGGCUCGUCCAUGAUACAGUCACAUUACCCGACUGCAUUUCCCCUAAAGCAUCAGUAGAAGGCAAGU
Molecule: long non-coding RNA, 1003 nt
Organism: Trifolium pratense (red clover)
Lineage: Eukaryota; Viridiplantae; Streptophyta; Magnoliopsida; Fabales; Fabaceae
Exons: 6
Source: RefSeq, a predicted model, not a curated record